UAGCAGGGACCUUUAAAGGUCAUCUAAUCCAACACCCCUGCAAUGAGAAGCAACUAGAUCAGAGCCCCAUCCAAUCCUACUUCAAAUGUUUCCAGGGAUGGGGCAUCCUCCAUUUCUCUUGUUGUUGGCACCCUCAUAAUAAAAAAUUUCUUUCCUCAUAUCUUAUACGAGUUUACACUCUUUUAGUUAAAAACCAUUACUCCUUGUCCUAUUGUUACAGGCACUAUUAAAAAGUUUCCCCCCUCUUAUUAAGUCCCCCUCAUUGCUUGAAAGGCUGCAGUAAGGCUUCUCCUGCAUCUUCUCCAGGCUAAACAACCCCAACUCUUUCAGUGCAGCCUGAAGUGCCAAGAUCUUGAUAUUUUCACUUCCAAAAGAACUUUGGUAUUUCCUGCAAUUGCGAGUUGUCCCUUUUCAUAAGAGCACUGGAAAACAUGCAAUAGAGAGAUUUUAUCCCUAUUUUCUUGAUAAUCCAAGCACCUAAAAUGACUCUAAACUGAUAUGCCCAGCCAGCUCCUAGGAUUCCCAAAUUUGUUUAGAUCUGUAAGACAAAGAGUUUUCCAUAUGGCACCUUUAACUGAAUCUUCCCCUGGUUCUUCUGACUCUGACAUACCAAUUGUAGUAUUGACAAUUUUACCACACCCUAAGAAUUUAGGAAAUUCUUUGGAACUAAGCCUACAUUCUUACCUUUUUUUUUUUUUUUGGUCUCUUUGCUAGUUUUACCUCAAGUAUUGUCAUAUUUAAUACUGUUCAAAACUUCGUAUUUCAUUUUAGCAUUUAACAGAGAGCAGACAUGAUGCAUUAAUCAUAAAAGCAGUAGAGUUUUUCACUGUGGCUUUUCUAAAUUACCUUCUGGUGUUUCCAUUUGUCCAUUUGGGUAAUUCUAAUAUCAGUUUCUACUUGCCUCUUUUCUUUAUAGGAAUACAAACUGAUAUUCAAUAAUUUUUUUUUAAAUAUUUUACCUUCUAUUGUUCAAAGUCAGUUGCUUAUUUGCCAGCAUAAGAAAAUAUUAAGGAGAAUGGUGCUGAUUCAUCAUUACUUGAUAAAUGUAAUGAUAAAUUACAUCAUUAAUUUAUCAUUACAUUUAUCAAGUAAUGUUGAUAAAUGUUUUUCAUCAUAAUAUAAAAAUUGUAAAUUAGAUAACUACUGCUAAAUUGCAAACAUUCAUCUAACCAAAGAGAUCCAAUAAAUAUCAAACAGGAGCAGAUACUCCUUCAUAGUACAAGAUUGUUUCAACACUUCUAGUGAAGCAUCCUAGGGUCUAUUGUCCAAGAACAGGCACUUACAGUGACCACACAGCAGGUGUAGAAAUGGCUAAAGUACCAAUCAGAGGAAGGGAUUCUAAAAAAAACCCAUUUUUAAGCAAGUGCUAUGUCCCCAACAGUGCAUUUUAAACAUAAUAGUCCAAGACAAAUACUCAACAUGUAAAAGGAACAGGAGCAUAAAGUCUGGAGUAGAGGGCCCUAAAAUAAAUAAAGGCAGAGCCCCUGAAGUGCCAGCAGGUACCUGUGAAUUAGGCAGUCCCACGGCCAAAUCUUCCAGCAGCAGACAGAGAUGAGAGGAGAGGAGCAAGGCAUCUCAGUCUCUGCAGGUCAGCUUCUGAGCUCCAGCACAGGGCAGGGCAUCAGCAAGGGUCAUAGGGUGCUAUUCUUAUCUAGAUAGCUGUAAAAGCUAAGACAGAUCAGCUAGCCAGUCUUGAUGUAAUCUAAAUCAGCAAAUCUUCAAGUGGAUAAUAUUAUGAAACAUAAUUACAAAACCAAUUCCCUUAGCUUUGGUGGAUGUGAGAGAUAAACCUGAUAAACCUGAGAUCAUUAAUUUUGUUGUUCUUGUGAAGGAAAUAGGACAGCAGCUAGAAAAUUGUCACAAAAUGGAAAAAUUAGCCUUUCUAUUUCUUGGUACAAAGUAGAAUUACUUUAAUGAGGGAUAUAUAUGUAUAUAAAUCAUCCUUGGAGCCAUUGUUCUUGUUUAAUGACAAGAGUCACUUAUGUCUGUAUACGAAUAAAUUUCUGGAGAUUUAGAUCAGAGUCUGGUGUAUAGAUUGAGACAUGAAAAGAGCUGAUAUUUUGAACAAUCUACUAUACAAUAGCGUCCUUUCCCUUCCAAAAGCACCACCUCCACUAGACACUGUUCAACUGAGCUCUGACCUGAAUGAAGAGAGUGCAGUUACAUGACACAGCUGAUGGUAACAAACUGGCCAUGGUCACAGCCCCUUCCCUUGGAGCUGGCUACAAGUGACACUGGAGGCACAGGGUAAAGGCCCAUGGGAAUGCCCUCAGGAGUGUGUGCAGUCAGAGGCUGUCAGGCCCUCUUCGUGCAGAAGUAGGGAAAGAAAAGUUGCAAAAGAUGUCAAGGGUGCGCCAGAGAAGUCUCUUUUGGGAUGAGAGUGUACUUUCAGCAAGAAUGCUGUCAAAACCAAAAUUGUAACCUCAAGCAAAGAAGGAAACUAAUUUUUGUGUGUGUGCUUUCAUUCUCUGGAGUUCAAGAAAGAAAGACUUUUACAUCAUCUAUAAGUAGGUCUGUAUUAAGGCAUCUAGCUUCUACUUCCCCCUCCCCAUGUUUGUUCUUUCCUGUCUUCUGUGUGCUGUAGUUGCAGGAUAGAGAUGUUUCCAAAGAGAAUCAGAUGUGUUGUGGUGUCAUACUCUAUUGCACAGGUGAUACCUGGGACCUGGGUUUCACGGUGCAGUUUCGCAUGUAAUUAGUUUGCUGUUACUGGCAACACAGAUUUGAAAUCAGAACUAAGCCCUCUGAGAAACUCUUUCCUGCCAAUGCUCUCAUUACUUUUCCUGAAUUUCCCUCUACAUUAUUUAUAGGGCUGGACAAAAAAAGGAGAACAGUUGGAUCUAAUUUAUUUACUGCAAAUGCUCUUAGGAAGAAAAGUGUUAUUCAGCCAACUAAAAUCUUGAUUUCCUACUUUUACUGAUAAGAAAACUCACUAUCUGGUUCCAAAUUACCAUAAAUGGGACAAUGAGAAAAAAGCACUCUACAAAAUAUGCAAAUGAUAUGACAGCCAGUGCAACAAGAGAUGGGAGAAUACAAUCAAAUUUCCAUCAGCUGUAAUAAUUCUUGCAUUUGUUUUCUUGGCUUGAAAAGGAGUCCCUAACUUCAAUGAGCAGCUCAACAGCUACAUCUGAAUAAUAAAUUGGGUGGGCCUACAUCUGAAGGACUUCCUUCCUUAAAGAUGAAAAUUCAGAACAGAGAGAAUACCCUUUCUUUAACAAGCAGAUUAGGCCAAGGCAAAAAGAGCUGAAGUAAUUGUGAGGGAAUAUCUUGAUACAGUCAUUCUGUGCCAGGUGCAGCAUCAUAUUGAUGGUGCAGAAAGGCUUCCUGGGUUCCUCCUGCUGUUCAUGCUGUGCUCUCAGUUGUCCUUAUUCAGCACAGAGUCCCUGGCAAGAAAGUGGGUGUUGCAUCACUGAUGUUCCUGUGCAGCAAUAAAUUGUACCAGGGCUGGGCAGUUCUGGCUGCAGGAAUUACAGACAGUCCCCAUGGCCUACUUCCCAUCAGAGUACAGGGGUCAUGGAAUGCAAAACUGGGGCCAAAUUAUUUCACUGGUGGCUGGAACUCAGCUAUUUGCCAUGUGCAUUACAAUAGUGAGUUUACUUUUUCUAAGUGCUGAAUUACUGCCCUGGGAGAUGCACACAUGCCUUCCAGACCAGAAUUCAGAGUUUAGCCUAAUAUUAUGUUUUUUAAACACAUCUGUGAUCUAUUAUGUUGCUGGGUAAUGAUUUUCACAGAAUCCUUGUUUUUUAAUAUGCAAAGAAAUGUCACUAUCAAUAUCAGUCUCAGCAUGGUAUUGCUGAGUACUCAGAACACAUCUGAGUACUAGAUAAAUGCUUCUUGCUAUGGAAAAAAUAUUACAGGUCAUUAAAAUGUUAAAGAAUUAAGGGGGAAAGUUAUAAAAAAUGGAAAGAACAUACAUGGAAGUUUUAGGAGCUGGGACCAAAGACUUCUAGAUAGUAGUAAUUUUAGUUACAUAAUGUAUCAGAAAAGUAAGUUAAACACUGGAAAAGCAUUAUAUGCCUAAAUUAGAUAUAUACUUGGUAUAAAAAUGCCAGAAACUUGUAUUCAGUUCUGAGUCCACAGCAGUCAUUUAGUCCAUUAGGAAUCAUAAGCGCAGUGCCAGAAUCAAGCAGCAGUUUAUCCUUUCUUUAUUCCAGGAGCUGCUUAUUUUAAUCCUUUCAAGAGCCUCAGACUGUUUUUGCUUUAACAGUCUCUGAGGAAAUUUCUCGUAUCCACCAAACAAAAUAAAGGCCAGACUGAGUAAGUAACAUUGUAAUUUAAUUUCGAUGUUCCUAAACUAUACUUGACUUCAGUUUGGAGAUGGACACUUGAGCACAGGCAACUGUUCUAAAAGAGUUUUUGUUUAAAUCCUUCUACUCACUUACUGAAAGGGUACUUUGAGGUGAGAAAAAUCUUUCCAGAAUCUAAGCCUCGUCUUUGUGCUUGUUCUUGAGAUAACAGCCAAAUUUCAUUUUAAUCCCAGCAGAAAAGGAAUGAAGACUGCCUAUACCAUAUAACAUUUUCUGGUGGAUGGGAAGUAUAUUUGAAUAGAGAAUCAGAGAAUUUGCAAGGAUCGCAUGCAUCAUGUACCCAAAGGCUGUGCUCCCUGGCAAGAGAAGUAUUUCCAGCUCCCCAGAACAGAAGUGUACUGCCACUCCUGAUAAGAAAUCUGCCUUGUAGUGGUAGAGGGUUUCUGAUGCAGAAAGUGCAUCUGUAGUGUCUGCCCCAAAGGCUCUUGUCACUGCAGCCAAGACUGAGCUUUAGCAUUAAUACUGAUUUAAUACUCUAUGUUUUUACCAGCUUUUAAUUUUUAAUGUGUUUCAUCUCCACUUGCAGAUCCUGCUAGCCUUACGUGAUCCUAUGAUGAGAGAAUAAAAUCUGAAUGUAAUUGUUGUGUCAGAUGUUUCUUUGUUCCUCCUCAAACACAGUCCUGAGUUUUAGGGUCAUUUGUCAGAGAAGUGAUGUCAUGGUAACAAAAUAUAGAUUGCCUUCAGAUUUCCAGUAGAUUAUCAGAGUAACUAUGGAUCCACCACAGCUGAAGGCUGAGGCACUGACCUCGAUAAAUUACCUGUCCUAGCAGCUUUUCGUUGCUUACCAUUCUGCUCACUGUUUUGCCAUCUUCACUGGCUUCAUCAGUUUUGUGAGGUUUUCCCCCAGACUGUUUGUGUCCAGCAGUCAGAUCCAGAGUUUACUGACAACAUUAUGAAAACCCUUAAGUGUUAACAGGAGGAUGCAGUCUUGUGAAGCAUUUGUUUAUUUGCAGGAUGUAGUCUCUUGAAGUAUCUACUUCUAAGAGGGUAAUGGAGGUUUUUCCUGGGAUUAUCAAAUCCUUUAAGUCAUUGCCACAUUUCAAAUAGGAUGUACAAAGUCUGCGAAUAAGAAUCUCAAUAAUUUUAGAAUUUUGGAAGGAAUUCUGCACACAACUACAAGAUCCUACAGUUUUCCAUUGUGUUCCUAUCAGGGGGAACCUGCAAUUAUGUUGGGAUACAUCCUGUCCUGCUGAAUUUUGACAGAAAAGGCUUAAGGCAGAUACUUUAUGUAAUUGCAGUUCACUGAGUGCUUUUUAGUGCCUGACUUGGACUGAAAACAGUAUUUUGCCAUCCUACUCUGCCAAAUAGGAAACUUUACUUGAUGCCAAAGAGACCUCUUCAUUUUGCAGUUAAUAUUUUGCUGAUUCUUUACACUGCUAUUGCUACCAAUUUCAUGAUUUUUCAGGGAGCACUGUAGGCUGAACACUAAUCUUCUAAUACAUAUUAAUGUAUUAGAUCUUAAUGUAACAGGGAUGUCUAUAAUUAGUUAGCAGAAAACUAAAAUGGCAAAGAAUGCUAUUUUAUUGCUUUGAAAUAUAAAAGAAACAAAAUGGCAAUGAUACUUUUGCUAGUAUAGUGUUUUCAGAAAUGCCAACACUCCUAUGCCCCUAUGUAAGAACUGAAGGUUCCUGUACUCAUGCUAACAUCACCUGUGUUUGAAGAGAACUGCAUUCAACACAUUUCUGAUCCUACAGGUGUCACAGUAAAUUAUACAAAGAAAUGAGAAAAGCCUUUAUAAAUGCAUUUCUGCAAAAAUGAAGUCAGAAUCAACUUUAUUUAUAGAUCACACCCUUUUUUUUUGCUAAAAAUGCAUAGUCAUUACAUAUACAGUAGUCAGCAUCCAAAAGUGUACAAAGAGUAAAUUUUCAAACCCUCCCGACAGAACCACACAAAAUUCACACUUUGUUCAUUGCAUGCACAGCCCCUUAAACAUGAUACCUCCUACUAAAGCGUGCUUGAACCUCUAGCAGACAGAAUUGACUUGCUAUAAACUGUUUCUCUGUACUAAUAACCCCCAGCUACAACCACAAAUCCUAAGGCAUUCCCAUGAAGUAGCAAAGCCCUACUUCAGAAUCCUCCAUGUUCUGAGUACGGCCCAGGAAGCAAUUGCCCUGAAAGCAGAAGUUUGCUGGUGGUGUUCCCUUCCAGGCAACUUCAAGCAAAAGCCUGCUUCCUUUGUCUUGGUCAAUAAUUUAUUACUGAAUUCAGUGGAAUGAAGCAGCAUUUGUCUAAGCAAGAUGUGAAAAUUAUUUAACUUAAUUCCACACCCAGCUCCAAGACACUAAGUGUCUUGAACGGAGGUCAGUGUCUUUCAGUGCAUGUGACACUACCAUCUUACAUCUCAUCUGAGAAAGUAACGUCUCAGCUGUAACUUGAGUGUUGGUGAUACAGCCCUGACUCAGAGGUGUCUAACAGAAGCUAGGAACAUACUUGGAUAUUGGGAGAAUUUCUAAAGGUACAGGCCUGGACUAACAAGCCACUCAAACCCUUUGAUGUAGUCUUUUUUUUUUCCCCCUCAGCUACUGCUGCCAGUUAGAAAAGCUCUAAAAAACAUGGUCCUCUUGUCAGUGGUGCUUUUUGUAUCAGCCCUUCCAGCUGAUGGGCAGAGUGCAAUAGUAGAAUAAUUAUUGAGGGCUUCUUGACAGAGUACAUAUAUGUGGUCAAAAGAUCUCAGUUCAUAUUUCACUCAACCAUAAGAUUAACUCCAUGUAGUUGGUUUUGCAGAACAGGAGGGAAAAAGAGAAAGUUGUUUGAUCAAUAUAAUUUUAUAUUCUCAAAUUAUUUUUUUUUUCUUAAAAGCAUCAUUUACUUCAGGUCUUUUUACUCUGGUAAGAAGUUUGACAUAGUUCAAAAUUCCCAAUGGCAACUGAGACAUAAUCAUAAUCUUACAGACACUGAUGGGAAAUCCUGCUGCAUUGUUUCAUAGUAACUGGAAUACAAUCCACGGCUAAAUGAACAAGGAGGCCUCAUGGGUGUUACAAUGCUCCUCAGUACAAGUUACCAGUGAGAAUUUCUGAAGAAAAGCAUAUGUAAGUAAUUUAUGUUUUCUCUUUACUCCUGACCCUAGAGCAUUUAGUCAGCCUGUUGAAUACUGCCUGGGUGUUGACUGUCCCCCACUUGAGCCAGUGGAAAUUUCUGGAGCCAUCAGCUCCAAAAGACAUAGGAUGUGAACAUCCUAGGAGUAUGGCAAUCACAAGGGUUUGUCCCAAGAGUUCACAAUCUGGAAACGUUCAUGCUCCUCUCCCUGUGAAAUGAGGGAAAAUAUAACAUUCUCUCUGCUGGAAGAUUUCUUCUUAGCACCUGGGAGGGUGUUUGCAUUUUUAAGUGCUUUACAAACAUUUGCUAGUCUUCAGAGCAACCCUGCGAGGUAGGUAAGGUAUAUUCUCCCCAUCUUACAGAUGUGGAAACUGAGACACAAAGGGUCAAAUUCAACCCUGGUACAAUUCCAGUGUUUCACAUGAAUUAAAAUUCAUUCAAAAUGAACACAGUUUAAACAACUUGCCCUAGAUUACAGAACAGAUAGUGGCAAAGCAAGGAUAAGAACCCAGGAGUGCCUGACUCCUCAGCUUGUUACUGGCCACUUGGUCAUUUUUAAGCUCAUAGGCAAUGAAAAAACAGUUUAAUCUGGGCAAUUACUACAGGUAUGACUUGCUUCUGUAAGGCAUGUGGAUGGUAAUCAACUGAGUUUAGUGCAAUAAUGCUCCAUGAAUGUGCUGCCUCAGAGUUUACUUAAACAUGAAGUAAAACUUUCAUACUGUCAUUUCCUGCAGGUGCACUGUUGACAAAAACCUGACACAGUAGCUGGAUUCAGCAAAUAAAUAAUAAGCGUAACACUUGGACAACUAAGCAGAAUUACCAUUUUAGCAAAAAAAAAUGAACAUACUUCUACUUUUAACUGCUACAUUUCUACAAGUGCAGCAUGCAGAUGAAACCUUUCCCUUUGUUUCCAAAUAUAGAUUCCAGUCUUGCUAAUGAGGCUGCUCAGAGCUUCACAGAUACCCUGGAUAGUGACAUUCAAAUACACACACUGCAGAAAAAAUACUGUAUCACCACAGAAAACAGGGUAGUGAUUACAGAUGAGGUUCAUCGAUCUUACAGGAAGAUGAGCUGGAAGCUCACAGGCUACUCAGAAGUGCCCAGAAGCCAGGCUUACUGAAUAUAUGCCAGUGUAGAUUGCAGUUCUAGGCACAUGCUGAAUUCAAGGGAGGGUGUCUAUGCCACCAACUCUGGGAAGUGGCCCCAGCAACAGCCACUUCACAUCAGCACAGGUGUGUCAGUCUGAAAGUCAGUGCUGGCCAAACACAGCAAGACACCCAAGCAUUUACAGGCCACCUCCCUGUGCUCCAGUCCCCACCUUGUGCUCCCAUCCCUGUGCAGAUUCUACUCCAAAAGGCCUGAAAAGCCUUUUUGGUUUCCAACAUGAGCUGUGGAAUCCACAGUGUAGACCUUAUGGCAGGUUAUAAAAACAUUAUGACACGUACUUCUGCAAGCAAGUUAGUUUUCUAGGAUUUCCUUAUGCAUCUAGUCUGCAGGUGAGACCUCUGAACAUGCUUACACAUGUUCUUCAGUCAUGUGCUUUCACACCAGAAAGUUAUCCUGCACCCUUACAAAUCACACAAAUGCUGACUCACUUCUAGAUGAACAAAUUCAAGCACUAUAAUUAUAGAUAUCUUGUUCCAAUUUGAAUAUUUUUAUCUCAGAUUAGUUUUGUCCAUUGGACACA
This is a non-coding RNA of Zonotrichia albicollis (white-throated sparrow), 9027 nucleotides long. The record is from RefSeq and is a predicted model, not a curated record. NCBI's taxonomy places the organism in Eukaryota, Metazoa, Chordata, Aves, Passeriformes, Passerellidae.